RNAcentral lists this ribosomal RNA (256 nucleotides) under uncultured bacterium. Its description in RNAcentral is "partial 16S ribosomal RNA". It matches the Rfam family "Bacterial small subunit ribosomal RNA", at positions 524 to 776 of the family's 1533-position model. The record is from RNAcentral.
UACGUAGGAGACGAGCGUUGUCCGGAGUUACUGGGCGUAAAGGGUGCGCAGGUGGCGGCGCGCGUGGGGGGUGAAAUCGCCCGGCUUAACUGGGCGGGGGCCUUCCAGACGGCGUGGCUUGAGCAGCGGAGGGGGACGUGGAAUUCCGGGUGGAGCGGUGAAAUGCGCAGAUAUCAGGAGGAACACCAAUUGGCGAAGGCAGCUCGCUGGGACGUUACUGACGCUGGAGAACGCGAAAGCGUGGGGAGCAAACAGG